AUGAACGCUGGCGGCGUGCCUAAUACAUGCCAGUCGAGCGAACGGACGAGAAGCUUGCUUCUCUGAUGUUAGCGGCGGACGGGUGAGUAACACGUGGAUAACCUACCUAUAAGACUGGGAUAACUUCGGGAAACCGGAGCUAAUACCGGAUAAUAUUUUGAACCGCAUGGUUCAAAAGUGAAAGACGGUCUUGCUGUCACUUAUAGAUGGAUCCGCGCUGCAUUAGCUAGUUGGUAAGGUAACGGCUUACCAAGGCAACGAUGCAUAGCCGACCUGAGAGGGUGAUCGGCCACACUGGAACUGAGACACGGUCCAGACUCCUACGGGAGGCAGCAGUAGGGAAUCUUCCGCAAUGGGCGAAAGCCUGACGGAGCGACGCCGCGUGAGUGAUGAAGGUCUUCGGAUCGUAAAACUCUGUUAUUAGGGAAGAACAUAUGUGUAAGUAACUGUGCACAUCUUGACGGUACCUAAUCAGAAAGCCACGGCUAACUACGUG
This 496-nucleotide ribosomal RNA is filed under the name uncultured bacterium. RNAcentral's name for it is "partial 16S ribosomal RNA". It matches the Rfam family "Bacterial small subunit ribosomal RNA", at positions 29 to 507 of the family's 1533-position model. The record is from RNAcentral.